RNAcentral lists this transfer RNA (71 nucleotides) under Camelus bactrianus (Bactrian camel). It matches the Rfam family "tRNA". Rfam says of the family: Transfer RNA (tRNA) molecules are approximately 80 nucleotides in length. RNAcentral also lists the same sequence under 2 other names. The record is from Rfam by way of RNAcentral. Lineage: Eukaryota; Metazoa; Chordata; Mammalia; Artiodactyla; Camelidae.
GGGUAAUAGCUCAGUGGUAGAGCGCAUGCUUAGCAUGCAGGCGUCCUCGGGUUCAAUCCCCAGUAUAUUCA